RNAcentral lists this ribosomal RNA (403 nucleotides) under uncultured bacterium. RNAcentral's name for it is "partial 16S ribosomal RNA". It matches the Rfam family "Bacterial small subunit ribosomal RNA", at positions 28 to 526 of the family's 1533-position model. The record is from RNAcentral.
GACGAACGCUGGCGGCGUGCCUAAUACAUGCAAGUCGAACGCAGUGGGGACGGGUGAGUAACACGUGGGUAACCUCCCAUAAGAGGGGAUAACACUUGGAAACAGGUGCUAAACCGCUACUGAUGGAUGGACCCGCGGUGCAUUAGCUAGUUGGUGAGGUAACGGAUCACCAAGGCAACGAUACAUAGCCGACAGGAGAGGGUGAUCGGGCACACUUGGAAUUAGACACGGCCCAGACUCCUACGGGAGGCAGCCGGAGGGAAUCUUCGGCAAUGGACGGAAGUCUGACCGAGCAAAGCCGCGUGAGUUAAGAAGGUUUUCGGAGUGUAAAGCUAUGUUGUAAGAGAAGCGGUACCUUACCAGAAAGGGACGGCUAACUACGUGCCAGCAGCCGCGGUAAUAC